This 72-nucleotide microRNA precursor is filed under the name Zootermopsis nevadensis. RNAcentral describes it as "mir-1000 microRNA precursor family". It matches the Rfam family "mir-1000 microRNA precursor family". The record is from Rfam by way of RNAcentral. Lineage: Eukaryota; Metazoa; Arthropoda; Insecta; Blattodea; Termopsidae.
GGCUGUGAUAUUGUCCUGUCACAGCAGUACUGAUCACAGAGCCUACUGCUGUUUCAGGACAUUGCCACAGAC